GACAUCCACCAACGAAGCACCAAUUCCACACAUCCAAAUACGCCAACUAAAAAAAUUUCCAAAGAGAGUGGACCAUUCAUGUUGUUAUCCUAAGAACUAUUGAGUCAUCUUAUGAGAACAACAAAGGAUCAGGAAAACUACUAAAAAUAAUUUUUGCCGACUCAGAGGGGAAAAAAAUACAAGGUAUUAUGUUUGGAGAAACUAUUGAAAUGUAUAAGCACAUGCUUCAGAAGAAUCAUGUUCUUUACAUCUCAAAUGGAGAAGUCAAACUAAUAAACCCGCUUUAUGGAAAUGUACAUGAGUCAAUUGAGUUGACAUUGACUAAAAACAUUUCUAUCAAAGAAUCAAAUGCAAAGUUUCAAUUUGAUAAGAUAUUGAACAACUUUAUCUCAAUCAAAGAGGCAAUUUCCAACGAGAAUACAAGGAAUAUAAAUGUUCUUGCAAUGAUAGCAAAUGUCAAGCCUAUGAUCAAGUACGUUACAAGAUAUAAUAAGGCGGACACAAGGCGGG
Long non-coding RNA from Asparagus officinalis (garden asparagus), 510 nucleotides. RefSeq lists it as uncharacterized. NCBI's taxonomy places the organism in Eukaryota, Viridiplantae, Streptophyta, Magnoliopsida, Asparagales, Asparagaceae. The transcript has 3 exons. The record is from RefSeq and is a predicted model, not a curated record.